GGCUUUAUAGUUUAAGUUAAAAUAUUAGACUGCAAUUCUAAAGAUGUAUUAUACUAAGGCUU
RNAcentral lists this transfer RNA (62 nucleotides) under Ephemera serica. RNAcentral's name for it is "tRNA-Cys". It matches the Rfam family "tRNA". Rfam says of the family: Transfer RNA (tRNA) molecules are approximately 80 nucleotides in length. Their secondary structure includes four short double-helical elements and three loops (D, anti-codon, and T loops). The record is from RNAcentral. Lineage: Eukaryota; Metazoa; Arthropoda; Insecta; Ephemeroptera; Ephemeridae.